GUCGAACGCGAAAGUCCCCUUCGGGGGGCAAGUAGAGUGGCGCACGGGUGAGUAACACGUAGGUAAUCUACCUUUGGAUGGGGAAUAACAAUCGGAAACGAUUGCUAAUACCGCAUAAUGCAGCGGCACCUAAUGGUGACAGUUGUUAAAGCGGGGGAUCGAAAGACCUCGCGUCUGAAGAGGAGCCUGCGGCGGAUUAGCUAGUUGGUAAGGUAAUGGCUUACCAAGGCGACGAUCCGUAACCGGCCUGAGAGGGCGGUCGGUCACACUGACACUGACAUACGGGUCAGACUCCUACGGGAGGCAGCAGUCGGGAAUUUUGGGCAAUGGGCGAAAGCCUGACCCAGCAACGCCGCGUGAAGGAUGAAAUCCCUCGGGAUGUAAACUUCGCAAGAACGGGAAGAAUAAGUAGGGGUCAAUACCCCCUAUGAUGACGGUACCGUUUGUAAGCUCCGGCUAACUCCGUGCCAGCAGCCGCGGUAAUACGGGGGGAGCAAGCGUUGUUCGGAUUUACUGGGCGUAAAGGGCGCGUAGGCGGCCAGCACAAGUCAGUUGUGAAAUCUCCGAGCUUAACUCGGAACGGUCAACUGAUACUGUGCGGCUAGAGUGCAGAAGGGGCAACUGGAAUUCUUGGUGUAGCGGUGAAAUGCGUAGAUAUCAAGAGGAACACCUGCGGCGAAGGCGGGUUGCUGGGCUGACACUGACGCUGAGGCGCGAAAGCUAGGGG
RNAcentral lists this ribosomal RNA (727 nucleotides) under uncultured microorganism. Its description in RNAcentral is "bacterial SSU rRNA". It matches the Rfam family "Bacterial small subunit ribosomal RNA", at positions 61 to 766 of the family's 1533-position model. The record is from RNAcentral.